AGCAGAGGAAUGAAGUGAAUGGGCUUGUUUUGAAAGGAUUCUAUUUCACUUAUUGGUUGCUCAUGGCUUAGAACAACAGUGACUUGUUAUUCCCCCCAGUCCUGUGGGUUGACUGGGCCAUUCUUUGCUGGUUCCACCUGAGCUCAUUCAGAGAUGGACUGGCCUCAGCUGGGAUGCCUGGCCCUCUCUUUCCAUGAGGCCUUUCAUCCUCAAGGAGGCUACACCUGGUUGGGCUUCCUUCUAAGAUGGUGGCAGCAUUUCUGGAGAGCACACACUUAUUAAGCUUCUGCUUGCCUCAAUGUGCUAAGUCACAUUGCCAAACCCAGAGUCAAGGUGGGACUGUAUGUGGGUGUGGAUAUCAGAAGACGUGGUUUAUUAGGGGCAGUUAAUGUAACAAGCUACCACUCUGGCUGCUCUCUUGAGAAGAGACUUGAUGAAACGAAUGGCAGAGCAAGGAGGCCAAUUAAAGGGCUAUAUAGUAAUCCAGGUGGAACCUAAGCAGUUUGAUGAUGGACAGUGCAUGAGAUGUGGAAGAGAGGGGAGUUAAGGAGGACCCCCGGAUGUUUGCCUCCAGCACGGAGUUGCUAUAUACUGAGAAGGCUCCAUCCUCCGGAUUUAACAGGGCUCCCUUGGCCAUACAUAGUAUGUAUUUCACAUCCUCUCAAUCUGUUGCGAUGUUUUACCGCGUGCAUUUCACGGCGGAUCCUGAUUGUAAAUGGGUUGUAGAAACUUCAUUGGCUUCCUGUUUGUGACAUUUCUGAUGGAUGGUCCCUAUUUAUAGAGAACAGCGUGGCGUGUGCAAAGUUACACGGCUCCACGCCAUGCUUAAUGGAUUGGAAGGAGAGAGCUGGCGCUCCCACUGUGAAGAGAAUCAUCUGCUUCCUUUUCGUGCAGCAGUCAGAAAUGGCCGGUGAUGGAACCCAGGCUGUGAAAGGCCUGUGAGGCUGAGUCCAGUCCUGGCUCUUCCACACAGCUUCUGGGUUCCUGCAGAACUCAGUCCCAGGAAUAAUGCGGGGGCUUGCAGUGUUAAGGGCAUGGCUGCUGGGGUACACCAACAGAUGUGGAGCCCGCCCUGGGUCAUUUGGCGGUGUGUGUCCAGGGAAAAAAAAGAAAAACUCAGGGAGGAGGGUCAUCUGUAAGUCAUUGACUGAGGUUUAGAGACUGUGGCUUAUUCAUUCCUAACCCUAACGUCUAGUCCAAUGACUGGCACAUAUUGCUGAAUACAUGCUUAUUGACUGACUGCAUGAAUCUUACCUAAGGGAAUAGUGAUGCAGGAAUAUGAUGUAGGAAGAUGGCCUUGCAGGAGAAUGACCUUGAACAGAGGCUGACUUUGGCCUCAUCCCAUAUUCAGAUUCUUCUACGUGAGCCAACUGAUGAAGAUUGAAAAAUUCCACACAAUUGAUUAUCUGGAGCCAGGAAGAGGAGACAAAUGAUGCUUUGACUGAAUUCUGCAAGAUCUUUUAAAAUUAAUUCAGUUGCCAGUGGUUUGUGUGUGUAACUGCCAUCUUGGACCCAUGGGGACCAUUCUGAGCCCUAGAUCCAGGCUUUCAGAAGGUGUUUUGAGGAUUAAAGGAGUUCAUGUAUGUAAAGCAGGAUGCUCAGCACUGGACUCAUAGUUCUGCCACCUGUGUUAAUUCUCAUCAAAUAUCUAAGUGAAAAAUAUGCUAGGGGGAAUGGAUUGACAUGUGAAAGUGUAGACAUUGGGCUAUUGAGUAAGAGUUUCACAGAGAUGCUAUAAGGGCAUAGAGGUUAAGGAAGAAACCCUCACAGAUGGUAAGCUCCCCAGCUCUGGAAGUGUUGCUGAAGAAAGCAUGGAGAAGAUUCAGAUAUCAGAUUGGGAGUUGGAUAGAUGACUUUUCAGGUUACUGAUCAACUGGUGAUUUUCUGAUUUUAAAAGAAAACUUUUGCACGUUAACCAGUAUUUUAGUCAUUUCGUGUAUAGAAGCUAUUUUUAUUAACUUUUUCUGCUGAUGAGACAUUUUGUGGAGAAUGAAUCAGCUACUUGUGCGAAUAUGCCAUUUAUUUGGAAGACGUCACACAAAUUUGCUCUGUUCUUUAUUUUUAAGAAUUUUCUAUCUAAAAAAUUUUUUCCUUAUUAAAUCAGGAAAAUUUUGUUAGUUUCUGGUUAAAGUUCUCCUAACAUAAUUAAGCAAUGCAUUAAAUGCAGCAAUAUUGACACAGUCAUCCAAUCUGUAUUUGCUGAACGUCUACUAUCAACCAGCCAGUGUGCCGCCCCUCUUCUUGCUUACAGUAUUCUGGGGACAUGAUAAUUAAUACAAUUGUUCUUGAUGUUAUUAUGCACAGAAUCAUCAGAGUUGCUUGAUAAAAAGGAUUGUCAAGCUCCUCCACCAGUUCUGAUUCAGUAAGUCUGAGUGGGGCCGAAGAUAUGUUAUUACAAAUAGCCUGGAUGACUCCGAGGUGGGAGGGCCAUCACAGACCGCAGAGUGAGAGAUGCUGGGGUAGAGGAAAUAUCAAGCUAACUGGAGUCCGAUGGCUCAGUUCUAAUCUGGGCUCUGCCACUUACCAGUUAUAUGACCUGUUUUAUAAUCAACCUCUCCCAUCUAGUAUGUGCUCCAGAAAUAUUUGUUGGGUCAAUGAGCUUACCUCUGUUUCCUUAUCUUUAAUGUCAAGAUUUUUUUAAAAACCCACCUUCCCUGAAUGUUACGAGUCCUAAAUGAAGUAGGGGAUAAAAUGCACCUUGACAUGUAUUUGUGGCUCAAGAAAGGUGACUCCUCUGUUUGCUGCAAGUUGAUUUCAUAGGUAUGUUGUGUUUGGAGCCAGAAAUAAUAGAGGAUUUCUGGCAUUAAUCAGAGUCAGAGAAGCUGUGCUUAGCUCUUUGCCUUUUGAGAUGGUCAAAGAUGACCUUUGUUACACAGACACAUCAAUAAUGUCCAUUAUAGCCUUGAAGCAAGUGACGCAUCACAAUUAAAGCCACAGAAACCACCAUCUCUGUAAUAACAUAAGUUGUUCAGUGUGAAGAUUAUUCUUGGUAGAGUGGAUGUAAGAAUUGCCUCAUUGCCCCCGCUGUAGGUUGUAUUUAUGACUUUUAGGCCAAGGUUUUAUUUCUCUGUAAAAAUCUCAUAUAUUUAACAAAUUAGGAUUUGUCGAGUAACUGAUUGGGCAAUAAAACUACUUCCACUAUUAAUGGUAACACACAUUCUGGAGAUACGAACAAAGACCUGCUGGCUAUAGUUUAAGAUUAAGAUAAAUUUUUUACAACGGGCAAUUGGAAAAUAUACAAUUGUAAGUAAAGUAUAUUACUUUGAACUUCUCAGAGCAAAGAUAUUCUGCAAAUGUGAAGUAUAAAUAUUUGAAAAUGUUGUUAUGAUACAAAAAGCCUCUGGUGGAAGCUCUCUAGUGUUGUGGAAAGCAGAUUAAAAUGUAUAAAGCCUGCUUUUUUCAUGCAUCUCCAUUCCUCCUUUAUUCACGAUCCAGACAUUUCUGUUUAGAUGUAAUCAUCUGACACGAGAUUUGGAAGGAAUUUACAGGUCAUCUAACCCAAUGAUGAUGGAUACGAGGCAUGCAUGCCUUUAUUCCCCAGUUUCUGCUCCUGGCAGACAUUGCUGAUCCAACUCAUGUCUCUUUCCAGUUGAGUCUGAUUGAUCUUGGAAUCCUUCAACACAGGGCUCCUGGAAGCCAUUAUGGAGUAAUUAAAGUGGGAUGUAAAUGAAAAUGUUUGGCUGUCCAUUAUUUAGAUUUUAACUGGCCACACAUGUAUGAGUGGCAGAACUGGAUUUCACUUCUAGGUCUUGAUCUUCCCAGUGUGGGCAACUUUCCUAAGCACAUGGACGUUGGGAGGAUGUGGGCCAGUAAAGAGAAUCUGAGAUAGGAGGAGUCCUUUUUCUGAAUUUCCAAUGUUGGCUCUUGAUCCAUUCUGCAGUGUGGCUUCAAACAAAUCACUUUGUGUUUCUGGGCCGAUAAAGUUUCAUGUCUGUGAAGUUAGGGAUAAUUGUCUAUCUCCGAGGGCUUUUAUGAGCAUCAAAGGAGGUAGUGGAUGUGAAUGUGUCUGUCACAUUUUGAAUGUAGGUGAAUUUAUGCUGUUAUAAUAAAAUGCAGCUUCCUAGAAUUGUGAGACAGCCAUUUUUUUCCAGGUAUCUGAGAAUUAUCCUUUUAAGUGCC
Molecule: long non-coding RNA, 4119 nt
Organism: Equus caballus (horse)
Lineage: Eukaryota; Metazoa; Chordata; Mammalia; Perissodactyla; Equidae
Source: Ensembl